RNAcentral lists this ribosomal RNA (253 nucleotides) under uncultured bacterium. RNAcentral describes it as "partial 16S ribosomal RNA". It matches the Rfam family "Bacterial small subunit ribosomal RNA", at positions 524 to 776 of the family's 1533-position model. The record is from RNAcentral.
GACGAAGGGGGCUAGCGUUGUUCGGAAUUACUGGGCGUAAAGCGAGUGUAGGUGGUUGUCAUAGUCAGGUGUGAAAGCCUUGAGCUCAACUCAAGAAAUGCACUUGAUACUGGGCGACUAGAGGACCGGAGAGGAUAGUGGAAUUCCCAGUGUAGUGGUGAAACACGUAGAGAUUGGGAAGAACACCAGUGGCGAAGGCGGCUAUCUGGACGGUUUCUGACACUAAGACUCGAAAGCGUGGGGAGCAAACAGG